UACCCAGAAAAAAAAAAUCUUUCAAAAUCAAAAGUAAAUAAAGACUUUCAAAUGCACAAAAGUGAAAGAUUUUUUCACCAGCAGAACUACACUACAGGAAAUAUUAAGACAAGUCCUUCAGGGAGAAGGAAAAUGAUACCACAUGUAAAUCUGGAUCUAUACAAAAAAGUGAAUAAUACCAGAAAUGGGCUUCAAAAUGCAUGAAGCAAAACUCCCAGAACUACAAGAAGAAAUAGACAAACCGAAAAUUAUAGUCUAUGAUUUUGACUGAUGGAAUAGGCAGAAACCAGUAAGAAUAUAGAAAACUGGAAUAAUGCUAUCAAAAACUUGACUUAAUUCACAUUUAUAGAACAUUCCACCCAACAACAAACAUUCUUUUUGAGUGCUCCUGGAACAUUCACCAAGAUGGAUCACUUAAUCCUUAUUAGGGCGAGGUUUCCUUACUUAUCGGCGAGAAAAUGCCAUGGAGGGGGAACACCUUUUUAAUGGAUCUUUGGCUGAGACUUGGCACAUGGUUGUUCUAUGGGAGGAAAUGUGAAAUGGGGAUAUUAUUCUGCCUCACCAUGCUAAGAGGAGGAUUCAAACUGCUCAGGAGCAUGAAUUUUGAUGAUGGAAUUAAAAAAAAAAUCAGUUUUCUCUUCAGUAUGCACUCUUUCUCCUCAUCCAUUCCACUGGACCCUCAUCCAGUCUUCACAUCCAGCUGCCUUCCCUUCUAUCUUUCCUAACUACAAUCAGUGGCUCCCCAGUUCCUGCUGUCUCUCUCAUUUCCCUCAACAGCCCCUUUCCUUUUCCUCCCGCGACUGGCCCAUCCAGCUCUCUCCUCCCUCCCUCCGCAGUCCCUGAGGAGAUCAAAGAGUGACAGUGAGGCUGCCUCCGGGAGACACGUUUCCAGCUCCCCCUCCCGGCUGGGCUGAGUUGUGGGCUGCGAGACCGGAGGCUGGGCCGGGGCGUCCUGGCUUCUGGGGGGAAGGGGGGGGGGCGGAUUAGGAAAGCGGUGUCUGCAGCAGCACUGCAUCCAAUAGAAAAGUAAAACUCCCUUUGUCCUAGUUAGCGUGGUGUCCCCUCAAGUUUGGGACUUGGCCGCACAUUCUUGAAAGCCAUUGUUCGCACUGAAGUUCUUAGGUCAGGAGCAGCGCCGGCGGGAGCGGAGCUGACACUGGGAGCGCUUCCCUGGUACCGAACUGACCCUAGCGUCGGCGGAGAGAGAAGUCGCCCUCCGGGAGGGGGGCUCCAGCGCCUAGGGUGGGGGGCAGCCGCUGGCCAAUCAGGAGGCGAGGCCGCGCCGGGCUUCCCCUCCGCGCUCCCGAGCGAGCGGCGCACAGUGGAAAGUUGGGAGCCUGAGUGGCUGGCCCCGGCGGAGAGCGGCGGCGGAGAGCGGC
This is a non-coding RNA of Leptonychotes weddellii (Weddell seal), 1379 nucleotides long. NCBI's taxonomy places the organism in Eukaryota, Metazoa, Chordata, Mammalia, Carnivora, Phocidae. The record is from RefSeq and is a predicted model, not a curated record.